Molecule: ribosomal RNA, 535 nt
Filed under: uncultured Bacillota bacterium
Lineage: Bacteria; Bacillati; Bacillota
Description: bacterial SSU rRNA
Rfam family: Bacterial small subunit ribosomal RNA
Source: RNAcentral
AGAGUUUGAUCAUGGCUCAGGACGAACGCUGGCGGCGUGCCUAACACAUGCAAGUCGAACGGAGUAAGUAGCAAUACUUACUUAGUGGCGAACGGGUGAGUAACGCGUAGACAACCUGCCUCUAAAUUGGGGACAACACCGCGAAAGUGGCGCUAAUACCGAAUGUGGUAUCUCGGUUGCAUAACCGAGAUAAGAAAGAUGGCCUCUAUAUAUAAGCUAUCGUUUAGAGAUGGGUCUGCGUCUGAUUAGCUAGUUGGUGAGGUAAUGGCUCACCAAGGCGACGAUCAGUAGCCGGUCUGAGAGGAUGAACGGCCACACUGGGACUGAGACACGGCCCAGACUCCUACGGGAGGCAGCAGUGGGGAAUCUUCCGCAAUGGACGAAAGUCUGACGGAGCAACGCCGCGUGAGUGAAGAAGGCCUUCGGGUCGUAAAGCUCUGUCGUUUGGGACGAACGUGUUCUGUGUGAAUAAUGCAGAAUAAUGACGGUACCAAAGGAGGAAGCCACGGCUAACUACGUGCCAGCAGCCGCGGUA